UAAAUCUAUAUAACAUGGAGGCAAAAGCAACAGUUAUUGGGAAUUCUCUCGUGGAGCCUUCGAUUCUGGAGCUGGCAAAUAAUCUGCCACUGACAACUGUUCCGCCACGUUAUGUUCGCCCUGAGAUAGACCAUCCCUUGAUUCGCAACGACGAUUCUUCAGCACAACAACUUCCAGUCAUUGACAUGCACACGUUGCUCUCUGGGGAUGACUCAGAGCUUGAGAAGCUUGACUCUGAUACCAAUUGUUGGGAAAAAUUAUCUUUUGAAUUUUUAUAAAACCUUUUGAAGAUCGCUCUCAUAUAAUAUAUAAGAAUUUGUAUUCUAGAAAUCGUACCUUGAAAAUC
RNAcentral lists this long non-coding RNA (346 nucleotides) under Citrus x clementina. Its description in RNAcentral is "Citrus clementina (C. clementina) long non-coding RNA (CCLE_LNC006822)". Lineage: Eukaryota; Viridiplantae; Streptophyta; Magnoliopsida; Sapindales; Rutaceae. The record is from RNAcentral.